CCUACGGGUGGCUGCAGUGGGGAAUAUUGCACAAUGGGCGCAAGCCUGAUGCAGCCAUGCCGCGUGUGUGAAGAAGGCCUUCGGGUUGUAAAGCACUUUCAGCGGGGAGGAAGGCGGUGAGGUUAAUAACCUCAUCGAUUGACGUUACCCGCAGAAGAAGCACCGGCUAACUCCGUGCCAGCAGCCGCGGUAAUACGGAGGGUGCAAGCGUUAAUCGGAAUUACUGGGCGUAAAGCGCACGCAGGCGGUCUGUCAAGUCGGAUGUGAAAUCCCCGGGCUCAACCUGGGAACUGCAUUCGAAACUGGCAGGCUAGAGUCUUGUAGAGGGGGGUAGAAUUCCAGGUGUAGCGGUGAAAUGCGUAGAGAUCUGGAGGAAUACCGGUGGCGAAGGCGGCCCCCUGGACAAAGACUGACGCUCAGGUGCGAAAGCAUGGGGAGCAAACAGGAUUAGAUACCCUGGUAGUC
Molecule: ribosomal RNA, 465 nt
Filed under: uncultured Klebsiella sp.
Lineage: Bacteria; Pseudomonadati; Pseudomonadota; Gammaproteobacteria; Enterobacterales; Enterobacteriaceae
Description: bacterial SSU rRNA
Rfam family: Bacterial small subunit ribosomal RNA
Source: RNAcentral